This 333-nucleotide ribosomal RNA is filed under the name uncultured eukaryote. RNAcentral describes it as "partial 18S ribosomal RNA". It matches the Rfam family "Eukaryotic small subunit ribosomal RNA", at positions 1470 to 1796 of the family's 1831-position model. The record is from RNAcentral.
CCCUUAGAUGUCCUGGGCCGCACGCGCGUUACACUGAUGCAUUCAACGAGCCUAUAACCUUGGCCGAGAGGCCUGGGCAAUCUUGUUAACGUGCAUCGUGAUAGGGAUAGAUUAUUGAAAUUAUUAAUCUUGAACGAGGAAUUCCUAGUAAACGCAGAUCAUCAAUCUGCAUUGAUUACGUCCCUGCCCUUUGUACACACCGCCCGUCGCUACUACCGAUUGAACGGUUUAGUGAGGGCCUCGGAUUGGUCUCGGCCCGCUCUUUACCGGGCGGCGCCGUUGGUCGAGAAGACGCUCGAACUUGAUCGUUUAGAGGAAGUAAAAGUCGUAACA